AUUAAGUUCAUUUUUCAGUUCUUUCGACUUUUCGUCUUAUUUAAAAAAAUUACGAUUAAUUUUUUUAUUGUUACUAGAUGGUAAAAUAUGAAAAGUAUUUUAUAUGUGACUAAAUUUUUUUAGGUUUUUAUACAAUUUUUUUAAAUAAGACGAAUGGUCAAACAUUGGACACAGAAAUUGAAAAAUAAAGUUAUU
RNAcentral lists this microRNA precursor (195 nucleotides) under Oryza brachyantha (malo sina). Its description in RNAcentral is "MIR812 microRNA precursor family". It matches the Rfam family "MIR812 microRNA precursor family". Lineage: Eukaryota; Viridiplantae; Streptophyta; Magnoliopsida; Poales; Poaceae. The record is from Rfam by way of RNAcentral.